Molecule: ribosomal RNA, 218 nt
Filed under: Kryptoperidinium foliaceum
Lineage: Eukaryota; Dinophyceae; Peridiniales; Kryptoperidiniaceae
Description: partial Bacterial small subunit ribosomal RNA
Rfam family: Bacterial small subunit ribosomal RNA
Source: RNAcentral
CGGCCCUUACGUCCUGGGCUACACACGUGCUACAAUGGCCGGUACAGAGGGAAGCCACCCCGCAAGGGGGCGCGGAUCUAUAAAACCGGUCACAGUUCGGAUCGGGGUCUGCAACUCGACCCCGUGAAGCUGGAAUCGCUAGUAAUCGGAUAUCAGCCAUGAUCCGGUGAAUACGUUCCCGGGCCUUGUACACACCGCCCGUCAAGCCAUGGAAGCUG